This 1349-nucleotide long non-coding RNA is filed under the name Vulpes vulpes (red fox). RNAcentral's name for it is "lncRNA (ENSVVUG00000011754.1)". The record is from RNAcentral. Lineage: Eukaryota; Metazoa; Chordata; Mammalia; Carnivora; Canidae.
AGAGAAUUAAACCAAUUUGAGGAAAUUAUUAUGGGGAGGUGGGAUGGAUGAAAAAUGGGUAAAUAAAUAGAUAUAUAAACAAAGCAUCAGCCCUCAAGGCCAAGUGUUUUCUGGGAGGAAAGGUUGGAGAACUCAAUUAGGAGAGUUAUUUCAGUAUCUAGAUCUUUCCACUGUCUGGAUCAUUCUUUCAUGUGUCAUAUGUCUUACCAAGGCUUGAUGUCCUCACUGAAAAAUGCCCAAUAAUCUUAAAGUACAGUGCAUUUUAUGACAUCAUUAGUUCCUUAAAGCAACCUGUUUAAGAACCUUAAUUCUCUAAAGAUGAAAAAGAGACAAACAGAGAUGCAGGCCAUUAAAUCCAUCCUUGGAAUAUUUCAUCAGCUUACUGGCUGGUACCCAGUAGGUGUUCGUAUCUGCCCACCAAAGAAGCUAAUUCUGGCUGACUUAAGCAAGAAAAAAAUUUAUUCAAAGGACGUUGGGUCAUGCCCGGAACCUCCCAGAAGCCUGAAGAUUCCAGACUCUAGAUCUGUGUGGCUAGAAACAAGGCCCCAAAGAGCACCCGAUGAAUGCUAUUCCUCAGGGAAAAGACAGUUCUGUCCUCUCAACUCCACUCUUUGCUAACAACUUCCCAAUUAAAAAUCCAGGACAUCUACCCACGCCUGCCUGCAAGGGAGGAGAGAAAGUUGAGAUCUAGCACGUUCAGCUUCUCAUGUGAGCCAUGGCCUCCUCCCAGGUGGGGAGCCCCCAGAGUGGACACUGAGAAGAGCAAGCUGUAAGCACAGCAGCCUCUCGCUCCCUUUCCUUCAGCGUGGCUGGCACCAGCCCCAGAGCUGCCUUGCUAUCCCCUCUUUGGCUUUGUCUUCCCUUUUUCAUCAUCCCCUUGCCCUUUGGACUUGAUAACUGCAUUUGGCUCACUUACUUUUUGACCCUGGACACUUCACAGUGUUUCUCAACAGGAGCACUGGUGCAAAAACACUUCCUUGCUGAGCAGAAACGCCCCUUGUGUUGCAGACUCUGUGGCAUUCCUGGCCAUGCUCACUUAAGGCAAGGACUAUGGCACGGUCUUGGUGACAACCAGAGAAAAUGGAUACUGCUUUCCAAACUGACCCCAGCCUUGGUGGGAAGUGAGGAGAUAGCAUGAUUCCAGGGGUGGUGGGAGGGGAAGCAUUGCUGUGGAAAGACUGCGCCCACAGGCCACCUGUCCCCUCCAGGGCUGGAUCACUGCCUCCCAGUGCUGCAGCUCUGGACUUGAACUGAACCCAGCCAGCUGCUUACCUGGACAGGAAACUGCCAUGUCCCCUUGGAGGGGGAAGCUUGUCGAUCAAAACUGACAUUGGCAGGAAUUAUCAAAC